UAGCCGUAAACGAUACUCGCUAGGUGUCGGCCACGGUGCGACCGUUGUCGGUGCCGUAGGGAAGCCGUGAAGCGAGCCACCUGGGAAGUACGGCCGCAAGGCUGAAACUUAAAGGAAUUGGCGGGGGAGCACCACAACAGGUGGAGCCUGCGGUUUAAUUGGAUUCAACGCCGGACAUCUCACCGGAUAAGACAGCUGAAUGAUUGUCAAUCUGAAGGUUUUACAUGACUAGCUGAGAGGUGGUGCAUGGCGUCAGUGACCU
This 262-nucleotide ribosomal RNA is filed under the name uncultured archaeon. RNAcentral describes it as "partial 16S ribosomal RNA". It matches the Rfam family "Archaeal small subunit ribosomal RNA", at positions 748 to 1009 of the family's 1478-position model. The record is from RNAcentral.